RNAcentral lists this ribosomal RNA (382 nucleotides) under uncultured eukaryote. Its description in RNAcentral is "partial 18S ribosomal RNA". It matches the Rfam family "Eukaryotic small subunit ribosomal RNA", at positions 592 to 976 of the family's 1831-position model. The record is from RNAcentral.
CAAUAGCGUAUACUAAAGUUGUUGCAGUUAAAAAGCUCGUAGUUGAAUUUCUGGUCGUGGCAAUCGGUCAGCCCCUCACGGGGUUCGUACCAGGUUGCUGCGUCCAUCCUCGGGGAGAGCAUAUCGGGCAUUCAGUUGUCUGGUGUGGGAUCCUCGUCAUUUACUGUGAGCAAAAUAGAGUGUUCAAAGCAGGCUUAGGCCGUUGAAUACAUUAGCAUGGAAUAAUAAGAUAGGACCUUGGUCUAUUUUGUUGGUUUGCGUUCCAAGGUAAUGAUUAAUAGGGAUAGUUGGGGGUAUUCGUAUUCAAUUGUCAGAGGUGAAAUUCUUGGAUUUAUGGAAGACGAACUACUGCGAAAGCAUUUACCAAGGAUGUUUUCAUUAA